GGCAAUUUCUUCCUUAUGAUCCCCUGUUACAACUAUAUCAUCUACAUAAGCAAUAAGCUAUAUGACUUUACCUCUACAGCGUUUUAAAAAUAAAGUGUGAUCAGCAUUACACUAACAGAACCCAAAGGAAAUCAUAGCUUUACUAAAUCUAUCAAACCAUGCAAAACUUUUUUCAAUUUGCAAACCUUUCCUCUGGUUUUC
This 201-nucleotide unclassified non-coding RNA is filed under the name Hevea brasiliensis (rubber tree). The record is from RNAcentral. Lineage: Eukaryota; Viridiplantae; Streptophyta; Magnoliopsida; Malpighiales; Euphorbiaceae.